AGCUACUGGAAGUGGCCAUCAAUUUACUUCCCUGGAGUUUGAAACUUUUCUAGCAGAGAGGAACAUUUUACACAGAAGGUCAUCCCUAUAUUACCCUCAAACCAAUGGGGAAAUUG
Long non-coding RNA from Gopherus evgoodei (Goodes thornscrub tortoise), 116 nucleotides. RefSeq lists it as uncharacterized. The record is from RefSeq and is a predicted model, not a curated record. Lineage: Eukaryota; Metazoa; Chordata; Testudines; Testudinidae. The transcript is spliced from 3 exons.